RNAcentral lists this ribosomal RNA (465 nucleotides) under Vreelandella stevensii. RNAcentral describes it as "partial 16S ribosomal RNA". It matches the Rfam family "Bacterial small subunit ribosomal RNA", at positions 338 to 795 of the family's 1533-position model. Lineage: Bacteria; Pseudomonadati; Pseudomonadota; Gammaproteobacteria; Oceanospirillales; Halomonadaceae. The record is from RNAcentral.
CCUACGGGAGGCAGCAGUGGGGAAUAUUGGGCAAUGGGGGGAACCCUGAUCCAGCCAUGCCGCGUGUGUGAAGAAGGCCCUCGGGUUGUAAAGCACUUUCAGUGAGGAAGAACGCCUGGUGGUUAAUACCCAUCAGGAAAGACAUCACUCACAGAAGAAGCACCGGCUAACUCCGUGCCAGCAGCCGCGGUAAUACGGAGGGUGCGAGCGUUAAUCGGAAUUACUGGGCGUAAAGCGCGCGUAGGUGGCUUGAUAAGCCGGUUGUGAAAGCCCCGGGCUCAACCUGGGAACGGCAUCCGGAACUGUCAAGCUAGAGUGCAGGAGAGGAAGGUAGAAUUCCCGGUGUAGCGGUGAAAUGCGUAGAGAUCGGGAGGAAUACCAGUGGCGAAGGCGGCCUUCUGGACUGACACUGACACUGAGGUGCGAAAGCGUGGGUAGCAAACAGGAUUAGAUACCCCAGUAGUC